This 274-nucleotide ribosomal RNA is filed under the name uncultured bacterium. Its description in RNAcentral is "partial 16S ribosomal RNA". It matches the Rfam family "Bacterial small subunit ribosomal RNA", at positions 523 to 796 of the family's 1533-position model. The record is from RNAcentral.
AUACGGAGGGUGCAAGCGUUACUCGGAAUCACUGGGCGUAAAGCGCGCGCAGGCGGCUUGAUAAGUUGGAUGUGAAAGCCUACGGCUCAACCGUAGAACUGCAUCCAAAACUGUCAAGCUAGAGUCUGGGAGGGGAAGAUGGAAUUAGUUGUGUAGGGGUAAAAUCCGUAGAGAUAACUAGGAAUACCAAAAGCGAAGGCGAUCUUCUGGAACAGUACUGACGCUGAGGCGCGAAAGCGUGGGGAGCAAACAGGAGUAGAAACCCUAGUAGUCC